UACAGAGGGUGCUAGCGUUGUUCGGAAUCAUUGGGCGUAAAGGGCGCGUAGGCGGCUUGGCAAGUGGAUGGUGAAAUCCCUCGGCUUAACCGAGGAACUGCCGUCCAAACUGCUUCGCUUGAGACCGGGAGAGGUGAGUGGAAUUCCCAGUGUAGCGGUGAAAUGCGUAGAUAUUGGGAGGAACACCAGUGGCGAAAGCAGGUAACUGGACUAUUACUGACACUCAACUGCGAAAGCUAGGGGAGCAAACAGG
Molecule: ribosomal RNA, 253 nt
Filed under: uncultured bacterium
Lineage: Bacteria
Description: partial 16S ribosomal RNA
Rfam family: Bacterial small subunit ribosomal RNA
Source: RNAcentral